AACGCUGGCGGCGUGCCUAACACAUGCAAGUCGAGCGAUGAGGCUCCCUUCGGGGGGUACAUCAGCGGCGAACGGGUGAGUAACACGUGGGUGACCUUCCCCAAAGACGGGGAUAACUCUUGGAAGCAGGGGCUAAUACCCGAUGUGCUCAGCAGUUCACUCUGUUGAGUAAAGCUAUGGCGCUUUGGGAUGGGCCCGCGGCCCAUCAGCUAGUUGGUAGGGUAAAGGCCUACCAAGGCUAAGACGGGUAGGGGGCGUGAGAGCGCGAUCCCCCACACUGGCACUGAGACACGGGCCAGACUCCUACGGGAGGCAGCAGUGAGGAAUAUUGCGCAAUGGACGAAAGUCUGACGCAGCGACGCCGCGUGGGCGAUGAAGGCCUUCGGGUCGUAAAGCCCUUUUCUGGGGGAAGAGAAAGGACGGUACCCCAGGAAUAAGCCCCGGCUAACUACGUGCCAGCAGCCGCGGUAAAACGUAGGGGGCAAGCGUUAUCCGGAUUUACUGGGCGUAAAGAGCGUUGAGGCGGUUUUGUAGGUUGGGCGUGAAAGCCCUGGGCUUAACUCAGGGAAGCCGUUCAAUACUGCGAAACUUGAGGGCAGCAGAGGGAGGUGGAAUUCCCGGAGUAGCGGUGAAAUGCGUAGAUAUCGGGAGGAACACCAGUGGCGAAGGCGGCCUCCUGGGCUGCUCCUGACGCUGAAGGCGAAAGCUAGGGGAGCGAACGGGAUUAGAAACCCCGGUAGUCCUAGCCGUAAACGAUGGAUGCUAGGUGUGGGGGGUGUAGAUUCCCUCCGUGCCGCAGUUAACGCGUUAAGCAUCCCGCCUGGGGAGUACGGCCGCAAGGCUAAAACUCAAACGAAUUGACGGGGGCCCGCACAAGCAGCGGAGCGUGUGGUUUAAUUCGAUGCUACACGAAGAACCUUACCUGGGCUUGACAUACAGGUAGUAGUGAAGUGAAAGCGGAUCGAUCCUUCGGGGAGCCUGUACAGGUGCUGCAUGGCUAUCGUCAGCUCGUGCCGUGAGGUGUCGGGUUAAGUCCCGUAACGAGCGCAACCCUUGCUCUUAGUUAUACGUGUCUAAGAGGACUGCCGGCGGUAAGCCGGAGGAAGGUGGGGAUGACGUCAAGUCAGCAUGG
This 1132-nucleotide ribosomal RNA is filed under the name uncultured organism. RNAcentral describes it as "bacterial SSU rRNA". It matches the Rfam family "Bacterial small subunit ribosomal RNA", at positions 32 to 1198 of the family's 1533-position model. The record is from RNAcentral.